UAAAAUUGCUAUCGAGUAUGUAAUAAUUCCGUGACUGCCGCCAAAUUCCGUAAUGGCCGCUGACAGAAUACCGAUGAGAGCUCCAGUAAGGUUAUGUGCAUCAUACCUUGGUACCGCAAGAUCUGUUCAUAUAUUUGAGUAACAAUGCAGCUACAAAUGAUGAUAGUCAUCCUUUUCAUCGAGCAACACCAUGGAUUCCCCAUUAUUUGGAAGGACUAUCCACGUAACAAUGAAAACUACAACUGCUGCGCUUACCUGUGCUGAAUACCUAAAAUUGGAAACUAUGUAUAAACAAAAAUAAGAGAGAAAUAAAUACAACGAAGAUGAGGA
RNAcentral lists this long non-coding RNA (330 nucleotides) under Polistes dominula (European paper wasp). Its description in RNAcentral is "uncharacterized LOC107066767, transcript variant X1". Lineage: Eukaryota; Metazoa; Arthropoda; Insecta; Hymenoptera; Vespidae. The record is from RNAcentral.